RNAcentral lists this ribosomal RNA (404 nucleotides) under uncultured bacterium. Its description in RNAcentral is "bacterial SSU rRNA". It matches the Rfam family "Bacterial small subunit ribosomal RNA", at positions 355 to 756 of the family's 1533-position model. The record is from RNAcentral.
UGAGGAAUAUUGGGCAAUGCCCGCAAGGGUGACCCAGCAACGCCGCGUGGAGGAUGAAUGUCGUAAGAUUGUAAACUCCUGUUAGAGGGGAAGAAUAGUACCGGUUGGACCGGUAUAUGACUGUACCCUCAGAGAAAGCCCCGGCUAACUACGUGCCAGCAGCCGCGGUAAUACGUAGGGGGCAAGCGUUGUCCGGAUUUACUGGGUGUAAAGGGCGCGCAGGCGGGAUAAAAAGUCAGUGGUGAAAUCCUACAGCUUAACUGUAGAACUGCCUUUGAUACUUUUAUUCUUGAGUUCGGGAGAGAGAGACGGAAUUCCAGGUGUAGUGUUGAAAUACGUAGAUAUCUGGAAGAACACCAGUGGCGAAGGCGGUCUCUUGGUCCGACACUGACGCUGAGGCGCGA